Long non-coding RNA from Venturia canescens, 805 nucleotides. RefSeq lists it as uncharacterized. The record is from RefSeq and is a predicted model, not a curated record. NCBI's taxonomy places the organism in Eukaryota, Metazoa, Arthropoda, Insecta, Hymenoptera, Ichneumonidae. The transcript is spliced from 2 exons.
AUAACUUUCGUUUUGAAAAAAACCAAUAACACGACGAAAAAAAAUGGUUGAUUCAGUCGAAGAACACUUUGGCUUCGUCCGCCCGUUAUUUUUCGGCAUUAUCGUAUAUUCAUGAGGACUUUUGUGUCACGGGUUUUUUGAGAUCGCGCGCGGACAACUGGAAUUCCGAUCGAAUAAUAUUUUGCGCCGAGUCCGUUUGGCUCCCGCAGCACGGCACGAAAAUAUAUCGCGAUAGAAAAGUGAACAACAUUCACAUUAAUAAUCCAUGACCUCCCAGUGGGAGAACUAUCUGCGAGCGAGAUUUGGUCAAGCAUUUGGUAUGGCAGUUUUAUCAAGUUCUGCGAUAAGGACAAAUGUGUCCUUCGAGAAGGGUAGCGACCCUCUCGAUAACGGGGCUAAGAAAAUCACGCGUUCGAUGUAACCAAAAGCAUAUAUUUGUUGAUUAAGAUGCAAACUCGUGCUCAAAACUACGUUGGAGUUCGAGAAAACUCCAUUUUCUGGACUCACUCAAAUUGUUGGAUUGGUCGUCGUCGCUUUUAGCUUUCAUUUGUCUCUCCCAAAUUAUCUUGCGUUCCUGGAGGGCUCGACUCGGGAUCAAACCAGCUCUCAUGUUUCUGUCACCCUCUCGUCGCGCCUGCCACCUGCGGGGAUUUAAAUAAACGGUACAAUUAUUCGGGAGGAUACGCGUGUGCGGACAGUACUUGUGAAAGUGGAAAUUGGGCAAUGGGGCGUGCUCGUAAAGACCCGGAAACGUGUAUGGAAAGGAAGAACGAAAAUAACGAAUAAAACUGACUGGUUAAUGGAA